RNAcentral lists this ribosomal RNA (460 nucleotides) under uncultured bacterium. RNAcentral's name for it is "partial 16S ribosomal RNA". It matches the Rfam family "Bacterial small subunit ribosomal RNA", at positions 338 to 795 of the family's 1533-position model. The record is from RNAcentral.
CCUACGGGAGGCAGCAGUGAGGAAUAUUGGUCAAUGGGCGCGAGCCUGAACCAGCCAAGUCGCGUGAAGGAUGACUGCCCUACGGGUUUUAAACUUCUUUUAUAAAGGAAUAAGGUGAGGCACGUGUGCCUUUUUGUAUGUACUUUAUGAAUAAGGAUCGGCUAACUCCGUGCCAGCAGCCGCGGUCAUACGGAGGAUCCGAGCGUUAUCCGGAUUUCUUGGGUUUAAAGGGAGCGUAGAUGGGUUGGUAAGUCAGUUGUGAAAGUGUGCGGCUCAACCGUAAAAUUGCAAUUGAUACUGGCAGUCUUGAGUACAGGUGAGGUAGGCGGAAUUCGUGGUGUAGCGGUGAAAUGCGUAGAUAUCACGAAGAACACCGAUUGCGAAGGCAGCUUACUAAACUGCCACUGACAUUGAUGCUCGAAAGUGUGGGUAGCAAACAGGAUUAGAUACCCCAGUAGUC